AAGUCGUAACAAGGUUUCCGUAGGUGAACCUGCGGAAGGAUCAUUAAUGAAAUGCAAGGACGCUCUUUAUAGAGGUCCGACCUAUUCAUCCUUUCACCCUGUGCACAAAUUAUUUUUACAUCCAUUUUAAACACAUAAAGUUAUUGAAUGUCCUAAUAGUUCCUUGAUUGAGUAUAAACAAAAACAAAAC
RNAcentral lists this unclassified non-coding RNA (190 nucleotides) under plant metagenome. RNAcentral describes it as "partial contains small subunit ribosomal RNA and internal transcribed spacer 1". The stretch from base 1 to 46 matches the Rfam family "Eukaryotic small subunit ribosomal RNA", at positions 1786 to 1831 of the family's 1831-position model. The record is from RNAcentral.